This 149-nucleotide ribosomal RNA is filed under the name uncultured bacterium. RNAcentral describes it as "partial 16S ribosomal RNA". It matches the Rfam family "Bacterial small subunit ribosomal RNA", at positions 383 to 524 of the family's 1533-position model. The record is from RNAcentral.
CUGAUGCAGCCAUGCCGCGUGUGUGAAGAAGGCCUUCGGGUUGUAAAGCACUUUCAGUCAGGAGGAAAGGUUAGUAGUUAAUACCUGCUAGCUGUGACGUUACUGACAGAAGAAGCACCGGCUAACUCCGUGCCAGCAGCCGCGGUAAU